CCUUAAAGUUUAUUUGUACAGUGGGGAAGCCGAGGCUCCCGCUCGCUCUCCCUGCCUCUUGCCUCUUUCUUUCUCUUUCUCUUUCCCUUUCUUUCUGCCUGGAGCUUUUCAGGAUGGUCCCACCGAGCCAGAGAGGCAGGAUCAACCACUAAUGAUCCAGGUUGCCUGCAAAUUCCCCCCCCCCCAUCCCUUCACUCGCAGCAGCUAGCUCUCUAUUUUAACGAUCAAAUCAAAGUAAACCACAAUAAGCGACUUUGGCAGAGAUGGAUUUUGGGGCCUAGCUUUAAUCACUUUGACUACCACAGAAGAUAAUUACUUCCUUUGCUCCUAUAGACUCUCCAAGUUUGGAGAGGUUUUGUUUAGCAAAGAGUAGUUACUGAAGGCAAUUAAAAAAAGGGGGAAACAAAAUAGAUAGGGCUUGAUAUUAUCUGGGCUGUAUUUUAUGCAGGCAUGAUAGAUCGGAAGAGUAC
Chiroxiphia lanceolata (lance-tailed manakin) is the source of this 470-nucleotide long non-coding RNA. RefSeq lists it as uncharacterized. The transcript is spliced from 3 exons. NCBI's taxonomy places the organism in Eukaryota, Metazoa, Chordata, Aves, Passeriformes, Pipridae. The record is from RefSeq and is a predicted model, not a curated record.